GACUCUGUCUCAAAAAAAAAAAAAGAAAAAAAACAAAAAAAACAAGUUAGUUGUCACAGCCUGACCUGUAAGUGUCUGCUUAGCGCCAAAUGGGCCUGGCGUCCUCACCUGGUCACACACUUUAUUCUGAACAGGCGAGCCCCAUCGUGUAUCACUCGGGUUUGAUACUGGUUCUUUCUACAGAGAGGACACGUUUUCUUGUUUGUGAACUUUUCAAAAGCCUGAAGACAUGCCUGAAGAAAAACAUUUCACUUAAAAUUUUACAAUUACUUAUAAACAACGUCUUUACUUCCAAUGUUAGUGUUCUAAUUACAGUGUUCUUUUCUCCCGUAACUAUGAAACUUAGCCCAAUUUAGGUUAUCAAGUGAGGAAGUUUCAUCAGGUGCUACCACCUUCCUCAUGAAACCUGUUCCAAAAGCGAUUUCUUACAAGAAUAUACAUGCAAAGACAUCAAAAACUUCUGAAAUCCACUAGCACAAAGGUGAGUCAUGCGUGUCUAUGGGACCACAUGCAGAUCGAUCAUGUGAAUUUAGCUGUCACUGACACGCAUUACUGACAACAAUCUGUUACAUAAACAUUUGUGGUUCUUUUGUCACAAAACUCAUGAUUUUCAAAAUAGGAUGAAUUGUACUGUAGCCUACAGUCAUGUUUCUUUAACUAUAGAUGGUGGUGAUGAAUAAAAUAAAUGGCUCUUCUCAGGAGCCUUGAAAAUGACUAUAGUUUCUCUGCACUGUAAGAGCGAUGUGUGGGGCACCUGAACAGGCGUGAGGGGCGGACUUACUCUGUGGAACACAUGGGAGCAUGAAAGCAGCACCUGUUCAUGAGGAAACAGAACGACAUUGAAGUUUACAAAAGAGAAGCAGCAUGAAUGCAACAGUUAAACUCCUGAAUGCUUAGAAGGGAGUGUGCUCACAAGAAAACUUCACCUUUCUGUGACCCAAAUUCCCCACUAAACAGUGAUAUUCUGGGCUGUGACAAAAGACUGAAGCUUAGACCAAAUGAAGAAGGCAGUGGGUACUCAGUAGAAGGGACAGAGCCACCAGCCCACCAGCGCCAGGCCCUGCGGGCUGCCACACGAAGCCCAGGCUUCCCUUGGGGCGGGGCUGCUUCCAGCAAUGGGGAGGAAAGUGGGGGAACUUGUGAGACGGAGCAGAGCAGUGGGGGCAGGCGGAGGGUUUCCCUUCCUGUCAAGAGUCUGACUCGGGUGACUGCAGUCUGGGCCCCUCCCGGGUGAGGUUUCAGUCUCAGGCGGCCCAGGGUGCCUGCUGUGGGGAAAACUUAACAGUUUUUAAAGUGAAUCCCACCUGCCUUCACUCAAUGUGUGCUUUUCUUCUUAAAUGGAAGAAAUACAGAAAUAAGUAGAACUCAGAAAGUUGUAAAACCUUUUCUUGAAACUUAUUGCCAAGAGUAAGUCUGAAUUGAAUAAACUCAGUAAUAUGGGUCCUUUUUUAUUACUACCGUUGAAUAGCAAUCUUUUCUAUACUUCAUUCAUCCUUUAUAGAAUACUUUUCAGUGUUUCCUUAACAUACAUUCUAUCUAUAUUGAGCAACAUUAGACUCCAGUAUAUUAAAGUGUUAUCUUUUUAAAUGUCCACAAAUAUUUCUUAUUGGCAAACAUUCUCUGAUGUAACAAAAAUCAAGGAGUAAGUGGUGGAAAACAUACUAAAAAUGGCCUAGAAGGUAGGACUGGAUUCCAGCAGGACUCCAUACUUUCUAAGCUGGCCUACUAUGAACCAUUUGAAUUAUUUUUUAUUUCCUCAUCUGCUAAAUGGGCAGAAUGCCUACUAUAUGAAAUUAAUUGAAGGCCUUCUGAAAUCAUUAAAUGUUGUAAAAAUGCCAACUAUUGUUUAUAACUAAGGAAAAAUCUGAACACGGAAACGAUCAUUAGAAGUGCCAAAUAUACAGGAUAGGUUCUAUAUCAAAA
Non-coding RNA from Macaca mulatta (Rhesus monkey), 1923 nucleotides. The record is from RefSeq and is a predicted model, not a curated record. NCBI's taxonomy places the organism in Eukaryota, Metazoa, Chordata, Mammalia, Primates, Cercopithecidae.